AUUUACUGAAUUAUUUUUGACACACGAAAAAGCUGUAACACAUUUGACAUAUACAUCUUGAUGAGUUCUAAGCCCAAAUUUAAAGAACCACUAAGCAUCAUAAUAGAGAAAUAUGUGGAAACUAACUGUAAGAAUGAAUGUUCCAGUGCCCAGAAUGGACAACAUCUGGGUUCUGAGCGUGCCCAGUAGGGAUGAUUUAACACCGCACUGAUGACUUGCAACAGAAGAUCGUCAUGUGAAAAGCUUUCACAGCCCUCUACUUGAAGAUGCAAGGAUCAGAUCAAACUUCUAGACCCAGGUUAGAAGGCAUGAUGAAACCCUUGGAAUACCCACAUGUCUGGCUCCUACUGGCCUCUUGACCAUUGUUGCAUUUUGGAAAACUAUGUCCAGG
Molecule: long non-coding RNA, 391 nt
Organism: Panthera uncia (snow leopard)
Lineage: Eukaryota; Metazoa; Chordata; Mammalia; Carnivora; Felidae
Exons: 4
Source: RefSeq, a predicted model, not a curated record